GGCUUGGAGGGCAGCCGGAAGCUGGUCUGCCGCUCGGGCCGGCGGAGCCGGGGCGGCCGGUUGUAGUCGAGCCCGAGGCC
This 80-nucleotide transfer RNA is filed under the name Streptomyces werraensis. RNAcentral's name for it is "tRNA-Pro". The record is from RNAcentral. RNAcentral also lists the same sequence under 1 other name. Lineage: Bacteria; Bacillati; Actinomycetota; Actinomycetes; Kitasatosporales; Streptomycetaceae.